RNAcentral lists this small nucleolar RNA (115 nucleotides) under Myotis lucifugus (little brown bat). Lineage: Eukaryota; Metazoa; Chordata; Mammalia; Chiroptera; Vespertilionidae. The record is from RNAcentral.
CUCCUUUUAAAAGCACUCACUGGGCCUCUCGCUAAUGACCCACUGGGCCGUCAAGAAACGGUAAAGUAGCCCGGCCGCCGUGGCUCAGUGGCUGAGCAUCGACCUAUGAACCAGG